RNAcentral lists this ribosomal RNA (509 nucleotides) under uncultured glomeraceous AM fungus. Its description in RNAcentral is "SSU rRNA". It matches the Rfam family "Eukaryotic small subunit ribosomal RNA", at positions 569 to 1079 of the family's 1831-position model. Lineage: Eukaryota; Fungi; Glomeromycota; Glomeromycetes; Glomerales; Glomeraceae. The record is from RNAcentral.
AGCAGCCGCGGUAAUUCCAGCUCCAAUAGCGUAUAUUAAAGUUGUUGCAGUUAAAAAGCUCGUAGUUGAAUUUCGGGGUUAGUAGGUUGGUCAUGCUUCUGGUAUGUACUGGUCUCACUGAUUCCUCCUUCCUGAUGAACCUUAAUGCCAUUAAUUUGGUGUUUUGGGGAAUUUGGACUGUUACUUUGAAAAAAUUAGAGUGUUUAAAGCAAGCUAACGCUUGAAUACAUUAGUAUGGAAUAAUGAAAUAGGACGUUCGAUCCUAUUUUGUUGGUUUCUAGGAUUGACGUAAUGAUUAAUAGGGAUAGUUGGGGGCAUUAGUAUUCAAUUGUCAGAGGUGAAAUUCUUGGAUUUAUUGAAGACUAACUACUGCGAAAGCAUUUGCCAAGGAUGUUUUCAUUAAUCAAGAACGAAAGUUAGGGGAUCGAAGACGAUCAGAUACCGUCGUAGUCUUAACCAUAAGCUAUGCCGACUAGGGAUCGGAUGAUGUUAAUUUUUUAAUGACUCAU